GACGAACGCUGGCGGCGUGCUUAACACAUGCAAGUCGAACGAUGAAGCUGGAGCUUGCUCCGGUGGAUUAGUGGCGAACGGGUGAGUAACACGUGAGCAAUCUGCCCUUGACUCUGGGAUAACUGCGGGGAACUGUAGCUAAUACCGGAUACGAGAUUUGGAGGCAUCUCCGGAUCUGGCAAGAAUUUCGGUCAAGGAUGAGCUCGCGGCCUAUCAGCUUGUUGGUGAGGUAAUGGCUCACCAAGGCGACGACGGGUAGCCGGCCUGAGAGGGUGACCGGCCACACUGGGACUGAGACACGGCCCAGACUCCUACGGGAGGCAGCAGUGGGGAAUAUUGCACAAUGGGCGAAAGCCUGAUGCAGCAACGCCGCGUGAGGGAUGAAGGCCUUCGGGUUGUAAACCUCUUUUAGUAGGGAAGAAGCGAAAGUGACGGUACCUACAGAAAAAGCACCGGCUAACUACGUGCCAGCCGCCGCGGUAA
RNAcentral lists this ribosomal RNA (483 nucleotides) under uncultured bacterium. RNAcentral describes it as "partial 16S ribosomal RNA". It matches the Rfam family "Bacterial small subunit ribosomal RNA", at positions 28 to 523 of the family's 1533-position model. The record is from RNAcentral.